This 253-nucleotide ribosomal RNA is filed under the name uncultured bacterium. RNAcentral describes it as "partial 16S ribosomal RNA". It matches the Rfam family "Bacterial small subunit ribosomal RNA", at positions 524 to 776 of the family's 1533-position model. The record is from RNAcentral.
UACGAAGGGUGCAAGCGUUACUCGAAAUUACUGGGCGUAAAGCGUGCGUAGGUGGUUCGUUAAGUCUGAUGUGAAAGCCCUGGGCUCAACCUGGGAAUGGCAUUGGAAACUGGCGACCUAGAGUGCGGUAGAGGGUAGUGGAAUUCCCGGUGUAGCAGUGAAAUGCGUAGAGAUCGGGAGGAACAUCUGUGGCGAAGGCGACUGCCUGGACCAGCACUGACACUGAGGCACGAAAGCGUGGGGAGCAAACAGG